RNAcentral lists this ribosomal RNA (489 nucleotides) under uncultured bacterium. RNAcentral's name for it is "bacterial SSU rRNA". It matches the Rfam family "Bacterial small subunit ribosomal RNA", at positions 24 to 518 of the family's 1533-position model. The record is from RNAcentral.
UCAGGAUGAACGCUGGCGGCGUGCCUAAUACAUGCAAGUCGAACGAGAACCGGAGCUUGCUCCGAUUCGAGUGGCGAACGGGUGAGUAACACGUAGGUAACCUGCCUUUCAGUUUGGGAUACCCGAGGGAAACUUCGGCUAAUACCGAAUACGAAUUUAAGAGGCAUCUCUUGAAUUUGAAAGGGGCUUUCAAGCCCCGCUGAUUGAUGGACCUGCGGCGCAUUAGCUAGUUGGUGAGAUAACAGCCCACCAAGGCGAGGAUGCGUAGCCGACCUGAGAGGGUGAACGGCCACAAUGGGACUGAGACACGGCCCAUACUCCUACGGGAGGCAGCAGUAGGGAGUUUUCGGCAAUGGGGGGAAAAACCCCCUGACCGAGCAACGCCGCGUGAACGAUGAAGGUCUUCGGAUUGUAAACUUCUGUCCUUGGUGAAGAGAAGAAGACGGUAGCCAAGGAGGAAGCCCCGGCUAACUACGUGCCAGCCGCUGC